This 956-nucleotide ribosomal RNA is filed under the name uncultured bacterium. Its description in RNAcentral is "bacterial SSU rRNA". It matches the Rfam family "Bacterial small subunit ribosomal RNA", at positions 8 to 958 of the family's 1533-position model. The record is from RNAcentral.
AGAGUUUGAUCAUGGCUCAGAGCGAACGCUGGCGGCGUGCUUAACACAUGCAAGUCGAGUGCGUAGUUCGGUGUAGCAAUACAUCGGAUGGGCGCACGGCGCACGGGUGCGUAACACGUGGGUAACCUGCCCUUCGGUGGGGAAUAACUCCGCGAAAGCGGAGCUAAUUCCGCAUGACAUUCUGGGAACUUCGGAACCCGGACUCAAAGGCCGCAAGGCCGCCGGAGGAGGGGCCCGCGCCCGAUUAGCUAGUUGGUGAGGUAAUGGCCCACCAAGGCUAUGAUCGGUAGCCGGUCUGAGAGGAUGGCCGGCCACACUGGAACUGAGACACGGUCCAGACUCCUACGGGAGGCAGCAGUGGGGAAUCUUGCGCAAUGGGCGAAAGCCUGACGCAGCGACGCCGCGUGGGGGAUGAAGCUUCUCGGAGUGUAAACCCCUUUCGACCCGGAAGAAUGUCCCGCAAGGGAUUGACGGUACGGGUAUAAGAAGCCCCGGCUAACUACGUGCCAGCAGCCGCGGUAAGACGUAGGGGGCCAGCGUUGCUCGGAAUUACUGGGCGUAAAGGGUCUGUAGGCGGUGUGGCAAGUCGGGAGUGAAAUCUCUGGGCUUAACCCAGGGGCUGCUUCCGAAACUGCCGUGCUGGAGUGUGGGAGAGGCGAGUGGAAUUGCAGGUGUAGCGGUGAAAUGCGUAGAUAUCUGCAGGAACACCCGUGGCGAAAGGCGGCUCGCUGGACCACAACUGACGCUGAGAGACGAAAGCUAGGGGAGCAAACAGGAUUAGAUACCCUGGUAGUCCUAGCCCUAAACGAUCAGGACUUGGCGUGGCCCGCGUACGUGGGUCGUGCCGAAGCUAACGCGAUAAGUCCUGCGCCUGGGGAGUACGUCGCAAGACUGAAACUCAAAGGAAUUGACGGGGGCCCGCACAAGCGGUGGAACAUGUGGUUCAAUUCGACGCA